RNAcentral lists this transfer RNA (66 nucleotides) under Bittacomorphella fenderiana. RNAcentral's name for it is "tRNA-Thr". It matches the Rfam family "tRNA". From Rfam's summary of the family: Transfer RNA (tRNA) molecules are approximately 80 nucleotides in length. Their secondary structure includes four short double-helical elements and three loops (D, anti-codon, and T loops). The record is from RNAcentral. Lineage: Eukaryota; Metazoa; Arthropoda; Insecta; Diptera; Ptychopteridae.
GUUUUAAUAGUUUAACAAAAACAUUGGUCUUGUAAAUCAAAAAUAAAAAUAAUUUUUUUUAAAGCU